RNAcentral lists this unclassified non-coding RNA (1014 nucleotides) under Hevea brasiliensis (rubber tree). Lineage: Eukaryota; Viridiplantae; Streptophyta; Magnoliopsida; Malpighiales; Euphorbiaceae. The record is from RNAcentral.
AUCAACAGUAACUAAUGUCUUACCACAUUUGCUAAGAAAAAAAAAAUAAUAGCAUUGAAAAAUUAAAACACGUGUGAUAUAAAUUAUAAGCAAAUUUUGGAGAGUGGAGGGCUACAAAACUAAAAAUUAUCAUAAUAUUUUUAUAAUUACUUAAAUAAAUAUAAAUAAAUAUAUGUAUAAAUAGAAUGUGGAUGGCCCCCUCUGCCAAUAAUUCCGCCACUGUGUAUUGUGUAAUUAACAUUUAUCAUAUUUUAGAAAAGCAGUCCUUUAUCCAAUGAGAAUCAACAGAGCAUGUUCCUGUUUUCCGUUUGCUCCUCAGCAAAUAAGGAAAUCCAUGUACAAAUGUUCAGCCAAUUGAAAAUGAAACAGUAUUCAUCAAAAUAAGAUAAAAGAAAAAGGAUUAAAAGAAGAGAAAUGUGGAUAACAAUUCAACAUUUCCAUUUCUCUAUAAUCUAAGUUUUGGAUAAGAGAGCACUACAAAUGUUAUCAACGGCCAAUCGCAAUUCGCAUUCUAAUUUAUACUGUAUAAUUCCACCACAAAUAACUAACCCCUUAUCUGAUUGCCUUAAUCUUUCAUUCAAGUAACCUAGCACGAAAAUGAAAAAGAAAUAACGAAUCAAAAAAGGUUCAAGGAAAUUUGGUCAACUGAGCUAUGGUUAAUUGAUCUAAAACUAUCUAACCAGUAAUCAAAGCUCAAAGCGCAGCAAAUUUCACCGUUUACACAGGUCAAAAUCAAUCCAGAAACAAAAAAAGAUUCAGCUGGAUCGUCAGUGAACCGGAGGAGUCAUGUAGCCGAAACAAGAUCAUUUUCAGAUCUAUACAAACAAAAACACUAAACCGGAGGAAUCAUAUAGCAAAUUUUUUCCCGAAUCGAAACACUCUAACAUCAACAAGCGAGCAAGAAUUCAAAAACAGAUCCCAUCAACCACUAAAUAAAAAUUUCACCGAACAAAAUAAAAGGACACGAGAAAUGAUCGAUCAAGAAACUCACAGCGGCGACGCCACCACCGACGA